This 578-nucleotide RNase P RNA is filed under the name Thermoleophilaceae bacterium. RNAcentral's name for it is "RNase P RNA component class A". It matches the Rfam family "Bacterial RNase P class A". From Rfam's summary of the family: Ribonuclease P (RNase P) is a ubiquitous endoribonuclease, found in archaea, bacteria and eukarya as well as chloroplasts and mitochondria. Its best characterised activity is the generation of mature 5'-ends of tRNAs by cleaving the 5'-leader elements of precursor-tRNAs. Cellular RNase Ps are ribonucleoproteins. Lineage: Bacteria; Bacillati; Actinomycetota; Thermoleophilia; Thermoleophilales; Thermoleophilaceae. The record is from RNAcentral.
UCUGCAAGCCAGACGGCCGCGGGGACAGCCAAACCGGCUACCAAGGACUCGUCCGAGGUACUGGCGGAGGUGGUCUUCGAGGAAAGUCCGGACACCAGAGAGCAAUGAUGGUCGGGGGUAAAAGCCUGACGCGGCGAAAGCCGACGGAAAGUGCCACAGAAAAUAACCGCCUAAGUCGUGCGGAACUGACUUCGGUCAGAACCGCCUCAAGGGAUCGGAAAGGCCGCAAGGCCCGGAUGUGAACGAAGAGGUAUGCACGGACGGUAAGGGUGAAACGGUGCGGUAAGAGCGCACCAGCAUCACGGUGACGUGGUGGCUAGGUAAACCCCAUCAGGUGCAAGAUCAAACAGGAUCGUUGAGGCUGCUCGCGGAGAUCCAGGUAGAUCGCAGGGAGUGGAAGACAUAGGCCCGACGCUUCGAUUCGUCGAAGCAGCCGAGACCCGCUGAAUGGCGCAAGCCCGAUGCGGACGCGGUAGGACCGAUGAAUGAAGCCCCCGCCUUACAGGGCGCAAGCCUGAGUAGGGCAGAGAUAGAUGGCCGUUCAACGACAGAAUCCGGCUUAUCGGCUUGCUAAGGGA